GUGGGGAAUAUUGGACAAUGGGGGGAACCCUGAUCCAGCCAUGCCGCGUGUGUGAAGAAGGCCUUUUGGUUGUAAAGCACUUUAAGCGAGGAGGAGGCUACCGAGAUUAAUACUCUUGGAUAGUGGACGUUACUCGCAGAAUAAGCACCGGCUAACUCUGUGCCAGCAGCCGCGGUAAUACAGAGGGUGCAAGCGUUAAUCGGAUUUACUGGGCGUAAAGCGCGCGUAGGUGGCCAAUUAAGUCAAAUGUGAAAUCCCCGGGCUUAACUUGGGAAUUGCAUUCGAUGCUGGUUGGCUAGAGUAUGGGAGAGGAUGGUAGAAUUCCAGGUGUAGCGGUGAAAUGCGUAGAGAUCUAGAGGAAUACCGAUGGCGAAGGCAGCCAUCUGGCCUAAUACUGACACUGAGGUGCGAAAGCAUGGGGAGCAAACAGGAUUAGAUACCCCGGUAGUCC
RNAcentral lists this ribosomal RNA (451 nucleotides) under uncultured bacterium. RNAcentral's name for it is "partial 16S ribosomal RNA". It matches the Rfam family "Bacterial small subunit ribosomal RNA", at positions 354 to 796 of the family's 1533-position model. The record is from RNAcentral.